AAGUCACCCCCUUCCAGUAUCCAGUAGUGGGUAUUCAGUUACUUACUAUUGUGUGUUGGUCCUUUACUGUGAGAAAAUUAGAGUGUUCAAAGCAGGCGUUUGCUUGAAUAGAUUAGCAUGGAAUAAUAAUUGAAGGCUUUCGUGUUCGAUUUGAUUGGUUUGUUCAUGGAAGCAAGGUUAAAAGGAACAGUUGGGGGUAUUCAUAUUCACUAGUUAGAGGUGAAAUUCUCGGAUUUAUGGAAGAUGAACAAGUGCGAAAGCAUUUACCAAGGAUGUUUUCAUUAAUCAAGAACGAAAGCUAGGGGAUCGAAGAGGAUUAGAUACCCUCGUAGUCUUAGCUAUAAACGAUACCGACUAGGGGUUAGUAGAGGUCAAAGUGUCUUUAUUAGUACCUUAUGAGAAAUCAAAGUCUUUGGGUUCCGGGGGGGAGUAUGGUCGCAAGGCUGAAACUUAAAGGAAUUGACGGAAGGGCACCACCAGGAGUGGAGCCUGCGGCUUAAUUUGACUCAACACGGGGAAACUUUACCAGGUCCAGACAUAGAGAGAGGGGGUUUGGAAA
Molecule: ribosomal RNA, 559 nt
Filed under: Blastocystis sp. subtype 1
Lineage: Eukaryota; Bigyra; Opalinata; Blastocystidae
Description: SSU rRNA
Rfam family: Eukaryotic small subunit ribosomal RNA
Source: RNAcentral